Molecule: non-coding RNA, 163 nt
Organism: Caenorhabditis elegans
Lineage: Eukaryota; Metazoa; Nematoda; Chromadorea; Rhabditida; Rhabditidae
Source: Ensembl
CUCCGGAAAUGGGUGCUCACCUGACAUGUGGUCACGGAUCAACACAUGACUAACUUUGGAAAUAUCUAUCCAAACCUUAUCCGCUCUGUAAUUAGAGUUGGAGCGCGCUAGGCCGCCUCACACACUUCCGAGCGCUGACCGAAAUUUGGUUAUAUUCUGAUGU